GAUGAACGCUGGCGGCGUGCUUAACACAUGCAAGUCGAACGGAAAGGCCCUGCUUUUGUGCGGUGCUCGAGUGGCGAACGGGUGAGUAUCACGUGUGUAUCCUGCCCUUGACUUUCGGAUAACAUCAGGAAACUGGGGCUCAUAUAGGAUAGGAGCUCCUGCUGCAUGGUGGGGGAUGGAAAGUUUCGGCGGUUGUGGUUGGACUCGCGGCUUACCCGCUAGUUGGUGGGGGAGUGGCUUACGAAGUGUUGGACGGGUAGCCGACCUGAGAGGGUGACCGGCCACAAUGGGACUGAGAGACGCACCAGACUCCAACGGGAGGCAACAGUGGAAAAUAUGACACAGUGGGCGCAAGCGAGAUGCAGCAACGCCGGGUGCGGAAAGACGGGCUUCGGGUGAUGAACCGCUGUCGCCUGUGACGAAGCGGGAGUGACGGUAAUGGAUAAAGAAGCAACGGCUAACUACGUG
Molecule: ribosomal RNA, 468 nt
Filed under: uncultured bacterium
Lineage: Bacteria
Description: partial 16S ribosomal RNA
Rfam family: Bacterial small subunit ribosomal RNA
Source: RNAcentral